UGUCUAAAAGAAAAUAAAAAAUGCGUUAUUUAGUUGUAUAAUACAUUUAUAAGAAAUAUUCUUUUUCUUUGUAUCUAGCCACGAUUUCCGGUUCCCGCCAUUUCGCGCCGGCGUCGUGGGUGUUCGGAUGCAGCGUAGUGCUCCCGGUUUUAUUUUGUUUAAGCGACCUUUUCUGAAGUGUCAACCAAGGAUCAAACACUGGUCGUUGCGGGGAUCGGCUUCAGAGGGUCAAGGAUGGCAUCUUGAAUCGCUGUUCAGUCGACAGGCAACUGUAUGACAACGCCACCCCUGUCAACCAGAGCGUCGACCGAAGUAGGGCGGCGUUGCGCGGACCUGGCCGCACCCGACCAACCGGUGGAGUACCUGACUCGGGCUGGGCGGAGACUACCUACAUCACGACCUUUUGAACUUUGAUCUCGUGACGAGAAACAAGAUGACGUAAGGAAGUGUGUAUGUGGCUGGCGGGGCCGAGGGUGAAAUGCGCCACGUGUUUAUCCUGCCGGAUGACGACAGCGUCACCAACCUGUCAAAGAACGAGCUGGUGCAGCGCGUGAUGACUGCCAUCUCGUCCCUAGAACCGGAGCAGAAAAACGUGCGCAUAGCCCAAAUGAAGCGAACCAAAACACAGACAGGACUGAUAGCUUUUCGGUCGAGAAUGUUCUGAAGAUGCUCAUCAGUAGACCAAUUGGUGACCGUUUUCGGCGGUAAUAUGGGAUCUUGUGGUGUUCCAAAGCGACCUGCUUUGGGUGUGGACAUAAGUGGCUCAACCUGACAGGAUUGAUGUUUUAGGUAGCCGUGCUAAUCAUAAAUCCUAUAUUGAGUGUAUCUGUACAAAUUUUGUUUAUAUUUAUUUCAUGUAUUUGAUUCGAAACCGAAAAUUGCUCUUUGUAAUUAGGCAACAUCGAGACGUUGAGGUCAUUCUCCAGACGUUUAUUUGUUUUUUCUUACCUGUCCACGGUA
Molecule: long non-coding RNA, 960 nt
Organism: Amphibalanus amphitrite
Lineage: Eukaryota; Metazoa; Arthropoda; Thecostraca; Balanomorpha; Balanidae
Exons: 2
Source: RefSeq, a predicted model, not a curated record